UCGGAAAUAGCUCAGUUGGUAGAGCAUAACCUUGCCAAGGUUAGGGUCGCGAGUUCGAGUCUCGUUUUCCGCUCAA
RNAcentral lists this transfer RNA (76 nucleotides) under Bacteroides uniformis. Its description in RNAcentral is "tRNA-Gly". It matches the Rfam family "tRNA". From Rfam's summary of the family: Transfer RNA (tRNA) molecules are approximately 80 nucleotides in length. Their secondary structure includes four short double-helical elements and three loops (D, anti-codon, and T loops). Further hydrogen bonds mediate the characteristic L-shaped molecular structure. tRNAs have two regions of fundamental functional importance: the anti-codon, which is responsible for specific mRNA codon recognition, and the 3' end, to which the tRNAs corresponding amino acid is attached (by aminoacyl-tRNA synthetases). tRNAs cope with the degeneracy of the genetic code in two manners: having more than one tRNA (with a specific anti-codon) for a particular amino acid; and 'wobble' base-pairing, i.e. permitting non-standard base-pairing at the 3rd anti-codon position. Lineage: Bacteria; Pseudomonadati; Bacteroidota; Bacteroidia; Bacteroidales; Bacteroidaceae. The record is from RNAcentral.